AGUGAACGCUGGCGGUAGGCCUAACACAUGCAAGUCGAACGGCAGCACAGUAAGAGCUUGCUCUUACGGGUGGCGAGUGGCGGACGGGUGAGGAAUACAUCGGAAUCUACUUUUUCGUGGGGGAUAACGUAGGGAAACUUACGCUAAUACCGCAUACGACCUACGGGUGAAAGCAGGGGAUCUUCGGACCUUGCGCGAUUGAAUGAGCCGAUGUCGGAUUAGCUGGUUGGCGGGGUAAAGGCCCACCAAGGCGACGAUCCGUAGCUGGUCUGAGAGGAUGAUCAGCCACACUGGAACUGAGACACGGUCCAGACUCCUACGGGAGGCAGCAGUGGGGAAUAUUGGACAAUGGGCGCAAGCCUGAUCCAGCCAUACCGCGUGGGUGAAGAAGGCCUUCGGGUUGUAAAGCCCUUUUGUUGGGAAAGGAAAGCAGCAGGUUAAUACCCCGCUGUUCUGACGGUACCCAAAGAAUAAGCACCGGCUAACUUCGUG
RNAcentral lists this ribosomal RNA (492 nucleotides) under uncultured bacterium. Its description in RNAcentral is "partial 16S ribosomal RNA". It matches the Rfam family "Bacterial small subunit ribosomal RNA", at positions 29 to 507 of the family's 1533-position model. The record is from RNAcentral.